CCUACGGGAGGCAGCAGUGGGGAAUCUUGCACAAUGGGGGCAACCCUGAUGCAGCGACGCCGCGUGAGUGAAGAAGUAUUUCGGAUUGUAAAGCUCUAUCAGCAGGGAAGAAAAUGACGUUGCCUGAUUAUUAAGCCCCGGCUAACUACGUGCCAGCAGCCGCGGUAAUACGUAGUGGGCAAGCGUUAUCCGGAUUUACUGGGUGAAAAGGGAGCGUAGACGGCAGCGCAAGUCUGAAGUGAAAGGCCGGGGCUUAACCCCGGAACGGCUUUGGAAACUGUGCAGCUAGAGUGCAGGAGAGGUAAGUGGAAUUCCUAGUGUAGCGGUGAAAUGCGUAGAUAUAAGGAGGAACACCAGUGGCGAAGGCGGCUUACUGGACUGUAACUGACGUUGAGGCUCGAAAGCGUGGGGAGCAAACAGGAUUAGAUACCCGUGUAGUC
RNAcentral lists this ribosomal RNA (440 nucleotides) under uncultured bacterium. Its description in RNAcentral is "partial 16S ribosomal RNA". It matches the Rfam family "Bacterial small subunit ribosomal RNA", at positions 338 to 795 of the family's 1533-position model. The record is from RNAcentral.